UUUGUUGGGGAGAAUAAAAAUCUGAAAUACCAGUGGCACUAGUUAACUUGAAAUAAAAGAGUUACAAUUUUCUCACUAACUAUUCAGAUAUUCAGGCUGAGUGUCCUUGUUCAAGAUAAACUGACACUGGAAUCACAAGAUAUGGAAAUAAUAACCAUCUAGCAAUUCUGCACAAAAAUGCAGAUCAAGCUAUAAGCUCUGCUCAGACCUUCCAAAUCAACAAUAUUUUAUGUGUUAGCUUUAAAAGAUUUAGCAGAAGCUUUCUCCUGAUGAAGCCUUGAGACCAUAAUCUCCAGCGCAAUACAAGAGACUGGAAUGUCCCUCAAGUCUGUGCUGACUUCGGUUAAAGGGGAGAUAAAGAAGAAACAGAUGGACUUGGUCCAGUAGCGGCUGAUGUUACUGUUCUCUGAGCAAGCACCGCCACAGAGAAACAGCAAGCUAAGCUGGUGCUGCCCACAGAGGUCUCCUGCUGCCUCGGAGGCAGAUUCACUUCUGCAGAGGAGAGCAGAGCAAGGAGCGUUUCUUUUGAAAAAACAAAAAAUAGAGAAUGUGUGAGAGGAACAAGCAGUCUAUUCAUUAAUUGAGGGAAGCGAUGCAAGCGAGGCAAAUUUGUUUCCCAGGCAAAUCGUUGCAAACAUCAACAGCAUGUCCAAAUGCAGGAACAUCCAGAGAUUCACAGCGUUCACUGGAAAAGUUUGAAAACGACUAGGGACACCAAAACCAAAUGUAUUCCGUGAUCCAUCUCCAGCUGUGACAUACCACUCAUAUAUCACAAAAACAGGGAAAAUAAAGCCUCACGUGCAUAAUAUUCAAGCCUUCACGUGUGCUGUUUAUUAUAAGUUCUAAAAUCUAUAAUA
Non-coding RNA from Pogona vitticeps (central bearded dragon), 857 nucleotides. NCBI's taxonomy places the organism in Eukaryota, Metazoa, Chordata, Lepidosauria, Squamata, Agamidae. The record is from RefSeq and is a predicted model, not a curated record.